RNAcentral lists this ribosomal RNA (654 nucleotides) under uncultured bacterium. RNAcentral's name for it is "bacterial SSU rRNA". It matches the Rfam family "Bacterial small subunit ribosomal RNA", at positions 188 to 845 of the family's 1533-position model. The record is from RNAcentral.
GCAUGGGUUUUAUAUUAAAGAAAUUCGGUAUGAGAUGGGGAUGCGUUCCAUUAGUUUGUUGGGGGGGUAACGGCCCACCAAGACUACGAUGGAUAGGGGUUCUGAGAGGAAGGUCCCCCACAUUGGAACUGAGACACGGUCCAGACUCCUACGGGAGGCAGCAGUGAGGAAUAUUGGUCAAUGGACGCGAGUCUGAACCAGCCAAGUAGCGUGAAGGAUGACUGCCCUAUGGGUUGUAAACUUCUUUUAUAUGGGAAUAAAGUUGUCCACGUGUGGAUUUUUGUAUGUACCAUAUGAAUAAGGAUCGGCUAACUCCGUGCCAGCAGCCGCGGUAAUACGGAGGAUCCGAGCGUUAUCCGGAUUUAUUGGGUUUAAAGGGAGCGUAGGCGGAUUGUUAAGUCAGUUGUGAAAGUUUGCGGCUCGACCGUAAAAUUGCAGUUGAUACUGGCAGUCUUGAGUGCAGUAGAGGUGGGCGGAAUUCGUGGUGUAGCGGUGAAAUGCUUAGAUAUCACGAAGAACUCCGAUUGCGAAGGCAGCUCACUGGAGUGUAACUGACGCUGAUGCUCGAAAGUGUGGGUAUCAAACAGGAUUAGAUACCCUGGUAGUCCACACAGUAAACGAUGAAUACUCGCUGUUUGCGAUAUACAGUAAGCG